Non-coding RNA from Acanthosepion pharaonis, 102 nucleotides. NCBI's taxonomy places the organism in Eukaryota, Metazoa, Mollusca, Cephalopoda, Sepiida, Sepiidae. The record is from the annotation of a GenBank genome assembly.
GACAUUGAAACACCUGUUCCCGUACGACCAGUGGAGUUAAGCAGCGUCGAACCUGAUCAAUACCUAGACGGGUGACUGCCUGGAAAUUUCAGGUGCUGUAAG